GGGGGUGCACUGGUUUCGACGGGGGUGUGGAAACCGGAUAAGCGAGCCGUAGUCGCCAAGUCUACGUUAAAAGUGGCCGUUUAAAUAUAAACGCUAAAAAGAAUAAUAAUUUCGCAUUAGCUGCAGCGUAAGCAGCACGCGCGCAUGCCCGAAUUCACCUGCAGAUUCGGUGUCAUGUGUCAAACAUGCAGGAAACCUUAUGUGAAAGCCCGGCAGCAUAAGGGAAUAACGGGAUAGCUAAUCGCAAAGCCUGCUUUUGGGCGCUGCGAGAGGCGAAUUAAAAAAUCAAAAGCUGCGCUCGGAGAAAGUCCCGUGGAAAUGCUUUCGGACAUGGGUUCGAUUCCCAUCACUUCCACCA
This 358-nucleotide transfer-messenger RNA is filed under the name Anaerovoracaceae bacterium. It matches the Rfam family "transfer-messenger RNA". Rfam says of the family: Bacterial tmRNA, also known as 10Sa RNA or SsrA, is named for its dual tRNA and mRNA-like properties. Its role is to liberate the mRNA from a stalled ribosome. The record is from RNAcentral. RNAcentral also lists the same sequence under 1 other name. Lineage: Bacteria; Bacillati; Bacillota; Clostridia; Peptostreptococcales; Anaerovoracaceae.